Molecule: long non-coding RNA, 1013 nt
Filed under: Salmo salar (Atlantic salmon)
Lineage: Eukaryota; Metazoa; Chordata; Actinopteri; Salmoniformes; Salmonidae
Description: lncRNA (ENSSSAG00000091730.1, ENSSSAG00000110497.1)
Source: RNAcentral
CCCCACCUCCCCACAUCUUCUAUUUCUCUUUCGCUCCACACAGGAAAACAAAACCGUAUUAGCCUCCCACACAAAGAGGCUGGACACCUCUGCAGAUGAACAUUGAAGUGAAGUGGACAUUGCUGGGACAGUGGCUGCAUUAUCAUUGACACUGCAACUCUGACAGCCAAGACAGCAAACCAACCCGUCAGCCAUGACAGCGGCCCCAUACCUUACCUCCAGCGACCCUCUGUCAGCUGCCAUGACUUCUAAUCGCGUCUUGACCCUGGUCAUGCCCGUGAUCCCGACCCCUUACCCCUGGAUGGAGGAGGAGCACAUCCAGGUACACACCAUCCUGAUUGUCAUCAUCUUCUGCGUGGUCUGCUUCCUGCUCCUGGUGGCCUUCUUCUACGCUUUCUGCAUCCGCUGCACACUGAAGCCGUCCCCCAAAGACUCCCGGCCUGCCCACAGCUGUAGUCUGGAGCGUGAGGAUGCCAGCUUCUGCCGCAGCUCCUCCGAUUGCCAGUCGGUUGGGAACGUGGUCUGAAUGGAGAAGAGUACAUGAGAGAACUAGAGAGGAAGGCUGAGAGGAGAGGAAGUCAAAGAGGAGAGGAAGUCUGAGAAGAGAGGAGGACUGAGAGGAGAGGAAGGCUGAGAGGAGAGGAAGUCUGAGAGGAGAGGAAGGCUGAGAAGAGAGGAAGGCUGAGAGGAGAGGAAGUCUGAGAAGAGAGGAAGGCUGAGAGGAGAGGAAGUCUGAGAAGAGAGGAAGGCUGAUAGGAGAGGAAGGCUGAGAAGAGAGGAAGGCUGAGAGGAGAUGAAGGCUGAGAAGAGAGGAAGGCUGAGAAGAGAGGAAGGCUGAGAUGAGAAGAAGUCUUAGAGAGGAGAGGAAGGCUGAGAGAGGUUUGAUAGCUUCUAUAUUAAUACAUUUCUGAGAUUAUGCGGCCCACCGUGCAACAGUGUUCAGGAAGUAGGAAUGAUCUGUUGGGGUGUGUCAUGGAGGAGCAGUAGAAUGUUACACUACUGUGCAUAACAGG